This 1081-nucleotide ribosomal RNA is filed under the name Enterobacter cloacae. RNAcentral describes it as "bacterial SSU rRNA". It matches the Rfam family "Bacterial small subunit ribosomal RNA", at positions 67 to 1140 of the family's 1533-position model. Lineage: Bacteria; Pseudomonadati; Pseudomonadota; Gammaproteobacteria; Enterobacterales; Enterobacteriaceae. The record is from RNAcentral.
CGGUAGCACAGAGAGCUUGCUCUCGGGUGACGAGUGGCGGACGGGUGAGUAAUGUCUGGGAAACUGCCUGAUGGAGGGGGAUAACUACUGGAAACGGUAGCUAAUACCGCAUAAUGUCGCAAGACCAAAGAGGGGGACCUUCGGGCCUCUUGCCAUCAGAUGUGCCCAGAUGGGAUUAGCUAGUAGGUGGGGUAACGGCUCACCUAGGCGACGAUCCCUAGCUGGUCUGAGAGGAUGACCAGCCACACUGGAACUGAGACACGGUCCAGACUCCUACGGGAGGCAGCAGUGGGGAAUAUUGCACAAUGGGCGCAAGCCUGAUGCAGCCAUGCCGCGUGUAUGAAGAAGGCCUUCGGGUUGUAAAGUACUUUCAGCGGGGAGGAAGGUGUUGUGGUUAAUAACCACAGCAAUUGACGUUACCCGCAGAAGAAGCACCGGCUAACUCCGUGCCAGCAGCCGCGGUAAUACGGAGGGUGCAAGCGUUAAUCGGAAUUACUGGGCGUAAAGCGCACGCAGGCGGUCUGUCAAGUCGGAUGUGAAAUCCCCGGGCUCAACCUGGGAACUGCAUUCGAAACUGGCAGGCUGGAGUCUUGUAGAGGGGGGUAGAAUUCCAGGUGUAGCGGUGAAAUGCGUAGAGAUCUGGAGGAAUACCGGUGGCGAAGGCGGCCCCCUGGACAAAGACUGACGCUCAGGUGCGAAAGCGUGGGGAGCAAACAGGAUUAGAUACCCUGGUAGUCCACGCCGUAAACGAUGUCGAUUUGGAGGUUGUGCCCUUGAGGCGUGGCUUCCGGAGCUAACGCGUUAAAUCGACCGCCUGGGGAGUACGGCCGCAAGGUUAAAACUCAAAUGAAUUGACGGGGGCCCGCACAAGCGGUGGAGCAUGUGGUUUAAUUCGAUGCAACGCGAAGAACCUUACCUGGUCUUGACAUCCACAGAACUUUCCAGAGAUGGAUUGGUGCCUUCGGGAACUGUGAGACAGGUGCUGCAUGGCUGUCGUCAGCUCGUGUUGUGAAAUGUUGGGUUAAGUCCCGCAACGAGCGCAACCCUUAUCCUUUGUUGCCAGCGGUUAGGCCGGGAACUC